GAUAUUGUCCUAUUUGGGCAUUUCUUUCUGGGCUUCCACUCAAGGCUUUAAAACGUGUCUGCUAGGAGAGGUUUCCACACCCUUACAAGGAAUGUUUCGUUCUCCUCUUCAACCGAUGUGGGAUCUCUCACACUUGCAAGAAUAACUUAUAGCUAUAUCACUUUCAUUAUAUAGAUAACAGCAAAAAAAACAACUAAAAAUUCUGUUUCCUAUCAGAAAAGAAAUUUAAAAACUA
This is a long non-coding RNA of Cucurbita maxima (winter squash), 235 nucleotides long. RefSeq lists it as uncharacterized. The record is from RefSeq and is a predicted model, not a curated record. Lineage: Eukaryota; Viridiplantae; Streptophyta; Magnoliopsida; Cucurbitales; Cucurbitaceae. The transcript is spliced from 3 exons.